This is a long non-coding RNA of Trachemys scripta elegans, 296 nucleotides long. RefSeq lists it as uncharacterized. The record is from RefSeq and is a predicted model, not a curated record. The transcript is spliced from 3 exons. Lineage: Eukaryota; Metazoa; Chordata; Testudines; Emydidae.
GACGGACAGCGCCACGGGUCCGGCUAAGACAAGACAGACUCCCUGUCCCGGCCUCUCGCAGCCCUAGGCUGGGAGAAGGCCUGGAGCAAAACCUGGAGAGAGUUUGCAGUAACAGAGUUUCUUUUGUUAAGGAAAUCCUCUAGCAUUCCCACACUACAUAAACAUUUGAACUCGCUUGGCUACGAAGAAGAUAACUGAGGAUGUACUUACGAUCGACAAAUGAAGUGAACAGCAUUCUGAAUCUGCUGAGUCUGCUACCCUCAUCUGCCCACAUCCGUACCACUCCUGUUCCAGUC